GACGAACGCUGGCGGCGUGCUUAACACAUGCAAGUCGAACGGAAAGGCCCUGCUUUUGUGGGGUGCUCGAGUGGCGAACGGGUGAGUAACACGUGAGUAACCUGCCCUUGACUUUGGGAUAACUUCAGGAAACUGGGGCUAAUACCGGAUAGGAGCUUCUGCUGCAUGGUGGGGGUUGGAAAGUUUCGGCGGUUGGGGAUGGACUUGCGGCUUAUCAGCUUGUUGGUGGGGUAGUGGCUUACCAAGGCGUUGACGGGUAGCCGGCCUGAGAGGGUGACCGGCCACAUUGGGACUGAGAUACGGCCCAGACUCCUACGGGAGGCAGCAGUGGGGAAUAUUGCACAAUGGGCGGAAGCCUGAUGCAGCAAUGCCGCGUGCGGGAUGACGGCCUUCGGGUUGUAAACCGCUUUCGCCUGUGACGAAGCGUGAGUGACGGUAAUGGGUAAAGAAGCACCGGCUAACUACGUGCCAGCCGCCGCGGUAA
RNAcentral lists this ribosomal RNA (484 nucleotides) under uncultured bacterium. RNAcentral describes it as "partial 16S ribosomal RNA". It matches the Rfam family "Bacterial small subunit ribosomal RNA", at positions 28 to 523 of the family's 1533-position model. The record is from RNAcentral.